ACCUGGCUUACACCGGUUUAAACUCAGAUCAUGUAAAAUUUUAAAGGUCGAACAGACCUAAUAUGAAAGCAUCUUCACCAACAAUUAAUUUUAAUCCAACAUCGAGGUCGCAAUCUUUUUCUUCGAUAAGAACUCUAAAAAAAAUUACGCUGUUAUCCCUAAGGUAAUUUUAUCUUAUAAUCUAAACUUUAGGAUCAUAAAUUCAUAAAUAAAUGGAUUAGUAAAAAAAAAGUUUACUCAAUUUUUUUGUCACCCCAACAAAAUAUUUUCUAAACUUAAAUAAUUUUUUUAACUAAAAUUUCAUUAAAUCAAAAAAAAUAUUAAACUCUAUAGGGUCUUCUCGUCUUCUAUACAAAUUUAAGCUUUUUAACUUAAAAAUAAAAUUCAAAUUAAUUUUUAUAGAGACAGUAAUUUUUUUAUUCAACCUUUCAUUCCAGCUUUCAAUUAAAAAACUAAUGAUUAUGCUACCUUUGCACGGUUAAAAUACCGCGGCCAUUUAACUUAUCAUUGGGCAGGUUAGACCUAAAAUUAUAAUCA
Molecule: ribosomal RNA, 537 nt
Filed under: Trigonopterus sp. 598 MB-2015
Lineage: Eukaryota; Metazoa; Arthropoda; Insecta; Coleoptera; Curculionidae
Description: partial 16S ribosomal RNA
Source: RNAcentral